CCACUCAGACUCCAUCGCCGCCACACCCGCUGCUCAGACUCCAUCACCGCUGCACCCGCUACUCAGACUCCGUCGGAUUUCUCGUUGCAACUCUAUCACCAUACCUCCAUCAACUUCGUUGCCCACAAUAGAGCUUGGUCAAAAGAGAUUUUUGCCCAUAGCAGCGCCCACUGUCUUCACCUUCGUAGCCGCUCAUCACCGUCGCUGUCGCUCAUCGCUGUUUGCUUGUUUUUCGUCGUCUUCGACGUCGUUGCUAUUACUCGUCAACUGUGCCUUAUCUGAUAUAGGUUAGUUCUAUUCCAUUUUUCUCUAAAUCUUAAACCCUAAUCCCAAAUCCCUAUUUCCUUUUAUCAAGGGAAUAUAAGCAGCAUAAAAGGGGAUUAAGGCUGCAGAGAAUGGAUUAUCAACGGUGGAGAAGGGAAUUGAAGUUGCUGAAGAAGAGAGUGAAACGACGGUGAGCUUCGGAGCAUUAGCACAAGCUGGCGAUGGUGAGCUUCGACGGCGUUCCUCUGAUCUUGGAUUUGUCCUAACCUACAAACAAUUUCUUAAAACCACAGGGAAGUAGCUCUUUUGGUGUCGUUAACAUGUUAUUUUCUUAGAUAUCGGCCUAGCUUGUGCACAAAAUAUUCCCCGUUAUGCAAUCGGGAAAUAAAGCAGUUGGUAUAAUGAAGGUUAGCUAGACCUAACCAUUGAACCUAUGAUCAAUGCAGGUGUUUGGCGUGACAGGAUGUGGCCUGAUGGAUGGACAACUGUAACAGAGUAACAACAGAUGGAAAACGUAGUGCUCAGUUUGAAUCAUUGUAAUUCAACUAACUUUUGCAGACAUCUGUACUUGAUGGUGAAACUGAUCUCAAGACAAGGGUAGUGACCCCUGCUUGUAUUGGACUUGAUUCAGAAUUAUUGCAUAAAA
Long non-coding RNA from Ipomoea triloba (trilobed morning glory), 910 nucleotides. RefSeq lists it as uncharacterized. The transcript has 3 exons. NCBI's taxonomy places the organism in Eukaryota, Viridiplantae, Streptophyta, Magnoliopsida, Solanales, Convolvulaceae. The record is from RefSeq and is a predicted model, not a curated record.